Molecule: long non-coding RNA, 573 nt
Organism: Mobula hypostoma (lesser devil ray)
Lineage: Eukaryota; Metazoa; Chordata; Chondrichthyes; Myliobatiformes; Myliobatidae
Exons: 4
Source: RefSeq, a predicted model, not a curated record
AUGUUUGGAGUAUUGUGAUCAGUUUUCAAAGUCAAAAUCAAAGUCCUAUUCUUUGAUAAUAAUAAAUUUAUUAUCAAAGUAUGUAUACGGGUUCCGGCCUGAAACAUCCACCGAUCUUUUCCACGGAUGCUGCCUGAGCUGCUGAAUUCCUCCAGCGUGUUAUGCUGUCUGGCCUGCUGAGCUCCUUCAGCAUUUGGCAUGACUUUGUAAAUAAAAAACCACAAGCAAUAUCAGUGACAAAAAGUACAACGAUCCCCAUUGUCUUUGCUGCUGAUCACGCCUAAACAUGGAAGGACUUAAACUCCACUGGUCUGGCAACAGAAACGAUCACUGCCACAGUUCAACACGGCAGAGCUACACAGCAAUUUGAUAAAGUCAACAAUCCACGCACAGGACAGGUCUCAGAAAAACCUCCGUCCGAAGACAAAGCAGACAGGCAAUAAAACGAGAAAAUAUCGACUUUGGAGCGAACUAUCCCCUUACUAGAGAAAACGGAAUUUAAAAACUUAGAUCGACAGUUGACCAUCACUGCCAAGCCAGGAUCUUUAAACCCUUUGAGAGAGUUUAGCUGCA